AGUGAACGCUGGCGGUAGGCCUAACACAUGCAAGUCGAACGGCAGCACAGUAAGAGCUUGCUCUUACGGGUGGCGAGUGGCGGACGGGUGAGGAAUACAUCGGAAUCUACUUUUUCGUGGGGGAUAACGUAGGGAAAUUUACGCUAAUACCGCAUACGACCUACGGGUGAAAGCAGGGGAUCUUCGGACCUUGCGCGAUUGAAUGAGCCGAUGUCGGAUUAGCUAGUUGGCGGGGUAAAGGCCCACCAAGGCGACGAUCCGUAGCUGGUCUGAGAGGAUGAUCAGCCACACUGGAACUGAGACACGGUCCAGACUCCUACGGGAGGCAGAAGUGGGGAAUAUUGGACAAUGGGCGCAAGCCUGAUCCAGCCAUACCGCGUGGGUGAAGAAGGCCUUCGGGUUGUAAAGCCCUUUUGUUGGGAAAGAAAAGCAGCAGGUUAAUACCCCGCUGUUCUGACGGUACCCAAAGAAUAAGCACCGGCUAACUUCGUG
This 492-nucleotide ribosomal RNA is filed under the name uncultured bacterium. RNAcentral describes it as "partial 16S ribosomal RNA". It matches the Rfam family "Bacterial small subunit ribosomal RNA", at positions 29 to 507 of the family's 1533-position model. The record is from RNAcentral.